Molecule: long non-coding RNA, 369 nt
Filed under: Pelobates cultripes (western spadefoot toad)
Lineage: Eukaryota; Metazoa; Chordata; Amphibia; Anura; Pelobatidae
Source: RNAcentral
GUCGGAGUUCCGGGCAGCUGCACCCCACGCGGACGAGGAUGGGUGCCGGUGUCCAGUGGAACUAUGGUCCCUGGGCUCGACGGGCUGAUGGACCUGGUUCGAGGGUCUGUGUCGAGUUCCACUUGGGCCAGAUACUCGAAGGUAUGGGCGGAAUGGCUCGAGUGGGAGUCAGGUCUGGGGGUUUUCCAGGAUACGCCCGCUCGAUUGCGGGGCUUGUUGCAGCUAUUGAACACUUGGGUGUCGGCGGGCAUGUCGCCUUCGGCGGUGUCCUCGCGCCUGGCUGGGCUGAGUUUUUUCUUUAAGCUGCAAGGGUGGGGGGACAUGACCAAGGAGUUUGUGGUGAGGCAGGCGGUUAAGGGGCUGCGUAGG